UACAGGGGGUGCAAACGUUGCUCGGAAUUAUUGGGCGUAAAGCGCGCGUAGGCGGCCACUUAAGUCGGAUGUGAAAUCCCGAGGCUCAACCUCGGGUCUGCAGUCGAUACGGGCAAACUAGAGUAUUGCAGGGGAGACUGGAAUUCCUGGUGUAGCGGUGAAAUGCGUAGAUAUCAGGAGGAACACCGGUGGCGAAGGCGGCUCUCUGGACAAAUACCGACGCUGAGGCACGAAAGCUAGGGGAGCAAACAGG
This 253-nucleotide ribosomal RNA is filed under the name uncultured bacterium. RNAcentral describes it as "partial 16S ribosomal RNA". It matches the Rfam family "Bacterial small subunit ribosomal RNA", at positions 524 to 776 of the family's 1533-position model. The record is from RNAcentral.